This 125-nucleotide non-coding RNA is filed under the name Myotis davidii. The record is from RNAcentral. Lineage: Eukaryota; Metazoa; Chordata; Mammalia; Chiroptera; Vespertilionidae.
GUGUUGUCUGAAAGGAGAGAAAGCUAGCACUCCCCUUGACAAGGGUGGAAGAGGCUCUCGAGCGAACAACACUGAGACAGUGAAGGCAUUGCUGCCUACUUAAUGGCAUCUGACCAUCAUUUUAA